CGAAGGCGAAAGGAGGUCCCCCGCGGCGAUUCUUGAGGUCGAUGUCACGGAUAGCGCCGUAUUUGUAGAACACGUCCUCAAUGUCCUUGGUUCGGAUGUCUGGAGGGGUAUUACUCCUUGUCGACUCUUCAAGGAUAGUCAAUUUGCCCAGGACCGUCUUUGAAAGCAACUCGGCGCCUUGAAAAGACGUGGUGAAAUCUAGCCUAGAGGUUUUUCCCACCAUGCUCUGCGGCGGUAACGGCCUUUGGCGGGAAAGACUCCCGAGGGCGGGGCCCGUGGAGGCGGGACCUGGCGGUUGCUCGGGAAACCGGCGCGUCUUGGAGUGAAUCUUAGUCCAGGAGCGCAGUUGCAGGAGGAAGAUUUGAAAUUUUAAUCAAAUUCUUAAAAGAGCUUGUGGAUCCCAAAAGGAGAAAGAUCCUCUGGAAAUUUUAGGUGGAAAGAUUGUCUGCCCUUCAGACCACCCUCCAAUGA
Tupaia belangeri chinensis (Chinese tree shrew) is the source of this 471-nucleotide long non-coding RNA. RefSeq lists it as uncharacterized. The record is from RefSeq and is a predicted model, not a curated record. The transcript has 3 exons. NCBI's taxonomy places the organism in Eukaryota, Metazoa, Chordata, Mammalia, Scandentia, Tupaiidae.